GAUGAACGCUGGCGGCGUGCCUAAUACAUGCAAGUCGAGCGAACGGACGAGAAGCUUGCUUCUCUGAUGUUAGCGGCGGACGGGUGAGUAACACGUGGAUAACCUACCUAUAAGACUGGGAUAACUUCGGGAAACCGGAGCUAAUACCGGAUAAUAUUUUGAACCGCAUGGUUCAAAAGUGAAAGACGGUCUUGCUGUCACUUAUAGAUGGAUCCGCGCUGCAUUAGCUAGUUGGUAAGGUAACGGCUUACCAAGGCAACGAUGCAUAGCCGACCUGAGAGGGUGAUCGCCCACACUGGAACUGAGACAGGGUCCAGACUCCUACGGGAGGCAGCAGUAGGGAAUCUUCCGCAAUGGGCGAAAGCCUGACGGAGCAACGCCGCGUGAGUGAUGAAGGUCUUCGGAUCGUAAAACUCUGUUAUUAGGGAAGAACAUAUGUGUAAGUAACUGUGCACAGCUUGACGGUACCUAAUCAGAAAGCCACGGCUAACUACGUG
This 497-nucleotide ribosomal RNA is filed under the name uncultured bacterium. RNAcentral's name for it is "partial 16S ribosomal RNA". It matches the Rfam family "Bacterial small subunit ribosomal RNA", at positions 28 to 507 of the family's 1533-position model. The record is from RNAcentral.